Perca fluviatilis (European perch) is the source of this 234-nucleotide long non-coding RNA. RefSeq lists it as uncharacterized. Lineage: Eukaryota; Metazoa; Chordata; Actinopteri; Perciformes; Percidae. The transcript has 4 exons. The record is from RefSeq and is a predicted model, not a curated record.
UGGACAUCAGAAGAGACAAACAACACGACAUCUGAAAACAACAAUCAAACUAAACCAGAAGGCUGGUGGAGGAUCAUCGUCGUGCCUCUGGGUUUAACAUCACUCAUAACAAGUGUUGUGGUGGUCAACAUAUGGGCAAGAGCUAAAGGGAACAAAACAGAGACGGAAGAAAACAUUGAGGAUGAUGAGGAAGAUGAAGGUACAGUGACCUAUGAAAACUCUGUCUGACUCCAC